CUCCGGGAAACCGGGGCUAAUACCGAAUGAUAAAGUGUGGCGCAUGCCACGCUUUUGAAAGAUGGUUUCGGCUAUCGCUUACAGAUGGGCCCGCGGUGCAUUAGCUAGUUGGUAGGGUAAUGGCCUACCAAGGCAACGAUGCAUAGCCGACCUGAGAGGGUGAUCGGCCACACUGGGACUGANACACGGCCCANACUCCUACGGGAGGCAGCAGUAGGGAAUCUUCCGCAAUGGACGAAAGUCUGACGGAGCAACGCCGCGUGUAUGAAGAAGGUUUUCGGAUCGUAAAGUACUGUUGUUAGAGAAAAACAAGGAUAA
This 318-nucleotide ribosomal RNA is filed under the name uncultured bacterium. RNAcentral's name for it is "bacterial SSU rRNA". It matches the Rfam family "Bacterial small subunit ribosomal RNA", at positions 147 to 458 of the family's 1533-position model. The record is from RNAcentral.